AACAGGCUUAGCUCCCCCAAGAGUCCACAUCGACGGGGAGGUUUGGCACCUCGAUGUCGGCUCAUCACAUCCUGGGGCUGUAGUAGGUCCCAAGGGUUGGGCUGUUCGCCCAUUAAAGUGGUACGCGAGCUGGGUUCAGAACGUCGUGAGACAGGUCGGUCCCUAUCCGUCGCAGGCGUAGGAAAUUUGAGAAGACCUGUCCUUAGUACGAGAGGACCGGGAUGGACGUACCUCUGGUGUACCAGUUGU
This 249-nucleotide ribosomal RNA is filed under the name Clostridioides difficile. RNAcentral's name for it is "partial 23S ribosomal RNA". It matches the Rfam family "Bacterial large subunit ribosomal RNA", at positions 2476 to 2724 of the family's 2925-position model. Lineage: Bacteria; Bacillati; Bacillota; Clostridia; Peptostreptococcales; Peptostreptococcaceae. The record is from RNAcentral.